This 833-nucleotide ribosomal RNA is filed under the name uncultured crenarchaeote. Its description in RNAcentral is "bacterial SSU rRNA". It matches the Rfam family "Archaeal small subunit ribosomal RNA", at positions 61 to 867 of the family's 1478-position model. The record is from RNAcentral. Lineage: Archaea; Thermoproteati; Thermoproteota.
AGCGCUUCCAGCCAACACGGGAGCGCAGCGCACAGCUCAGUAACACGUGGCUAAUCUGCCCUUGGGACCGGAAUACCCCCGGGAAACUGGGGCUAAUUCUCGAUAGGUGAAGAACUCUGGAAUGAGUCUUUGCCAAAAAGACGUUUACGUUAUGCUCGUAGGCGUUGCCCAAGGAUGAGGCCGCGACCGAUCAGGUUGUUGGUGAGGUAAUGGCUCACCAAGCCUUUUACCGGUGCGGGCCGUGAGAGCGGGAGCCCGGAGAUGGGCACUGAGACAAGGGCCCAGGCCCUACGGGGCGCAGCAGUCGCGAAAACUUUGCAAUACACGAAAGUGUGACAGGGCUAUCCCGAGUGCCAUCCGCUGAGGAAGGCUUUUACCCAGUCUAGAACGCUGGGGGAAUAAGGAGAGGGCAAGUCUGGUGUCAGCCGCCGCGGUAAUACCAGCUCUCCGAGUGGUGUGGAUGUUUAUUGGGCCUAAAGCAUCCGUAGCUGGCUGAGUUAGUCCCUUGUUAAAUCCACCGAAUUAAUCGUUGGAUUGCGGGGGAUACUGCUCGGCUAGGGGACGAGAGAGGCAGACGGUAUUUCUGGGGUAGGGGUGAAAUCCUAUAAUCCCAGGAGGACCACCAGUGGCGAAGGCUGUCUGCUAGAACGCGCCCGACGGUGAGGGAUGAAAGCUGGGGGAGCGAACCGGAUUAGAUACCCGGGUAGUCCCAGCUGUAAACGAUGCAGACUAGGUGUUUGGACGGCCACGUGCCGUUCUAGUGCCGCAGGGAAGCUGUUAAGUCUGCCGCCUGGGGGAGUACGAUCCGCAAGAUUGAAACUUAAAAGGAAUUG